UUCCGCCGGCGACCGGCGCACGGGUGAGUAACACGUAUGAAACCUGCCCGUAGCAGGGGGAUAAGCGGAAGAAAUUCCGUCUAAUACCGCGUAACAACCCGAGGAGGCAUCUCCUCGGGUUUAAAGGAAGCGAUUCCGGCUACGGAUGGUCAUGCGUCGCAUUAGCUAGUUGGCGGGGUAACGGCCCACCAAGGCGACGAUGCGUAGGGGUUCUGAGAGGAAGGUCCCCCACACUGGUACUGAGACACGGACCAGACUCCUACGGGAGGCAGCAG
RNAcentral lists this ribosomal RNA (275 nucleotides) under uncultured bacterium. Its description in RNAcentral is "partial 16S ribosomal RNA". It matches the Rfam family "Bacterial small subunit ribosomal RNA", at positions 83 to 354 of the family's 1533-position model. The record is from RNAcentral.